This 453-nucleotide ribosomal RNA is filed under the name uncultured bacterium. RNAcentral's name for it is "partial 16S ribosomal RNA". It matches the Rfam family "Bacterial small subunit ribosomal RNA", at positions 29 to 523 of the family's 1533-position model. The record is from RNAcentral.
AACGAACGCUGGCGGCAUGCCUAACACAUGCAAGUCGAACGCCUGUAGCAAUACAGGAGUGGCAGACGGGUGAGUAACACGUGGGAAUCUACCCAGUAGCUCGGAAUAACCGCGGGAAACUGCGGCUAAUACCGGAUACGCCCCGAGGGGGAAAGGAGCAAUCCACUAUUGGAGGAGCCCGCGUCUGAUUAGCUAGUUGGUGAGGUAACGGCUCACCAAGGCGACGAUCAGUAGCUGGUUUGAGAGAACGACCAGCCACACUGGGACUGAGACACGGCCCAGACUCCUACGGGAGGCAGCAGUGGGGAAUAUUGGACAAUGGGGGAAACCCUGAUCCAGCAAUGCCGCGUGGGUGAUGAAGGCCUUCGGGUUGUAAAGCCCUUUUGUCGGGGACGAUGAUGACGGUACCCGACGAAUAAGCUCCGGCUAACUUCGUGCCAGCAGCCGCGGUAA